This is a non-coding RNA of Odocoileus virginianus texanus, 1163 nucleotides long. The record is from RefSeq and is a predicted model, not a curated record. Lineage: Eukaryota; Metazoa; Chordata; Mammalia; Artiodactyla; Cervidae.
CCUGAGCCACGGCUCAGCCAGGGACAGAGGUGAGGAGGAAGAGCUUUUUGACCAGAAGAAAGCACAUCUCAGAACCAGAGAGAAGUUUGGUGUGGCCAGAACCUCUCAAAGAUGGAGUCUGGGUGAGGUCGCUCAAGAUUGCCAGUGUGGAACAGCCACAAAAACACACGGAAAGAGAAGAAACAUUACCUCAAUGACAAAAGAAAAGCCAAGUUUAAGUCAAACUGGGAAAAGGAGGUUGCACUGAGUCUCCUUAAGCUUGUGACCGGCUGAGUCUACAAGGUUCUCCUGAGAGCCAUAGUCCAUCCAAUCCUGUAUGUGGCUUCAUCAGACAUUCAGCAGUGCCUGGGAGGCACGGUGAAGUAUGCUGAAAGUGACCUUCAGCUUACUCAUAUCAUCUUGACACAAGUGAGCCAGGCUCUACCCUUGUAAUUUUCAUUAUUAACCACAAGAAGAGGAGCUUCUCUCAGUAGGAAAUACAGCAUCCAAAAAUAUAUAGUUUUUUGCAGACAUGUUUAAGAUGUAAAUUAAGGUGAGGUCAUCGUGGAGUAUGCGGGUGCUUAAUCCAAUAUAACUUGAGUCCUUUUAAGAAGAGAAAGGAGAUGAGACAGACACACAGGAAGAAUACCACGUGACCACAAAAGCACUCCAAGAAACCCCACCAGAAGCUAGAAAGAGGUGUGCUCAUUCUGGAAGGCCAUGACCUGGAUAAUUUGGCUGAGGAAACUUCUCAUGAUGAUGUGGCUACCUGUGGUGUGCUUACCUGGUUUCCAGGCGCCAAGGACAACAGGAUUCAAAAUAAUAUUCUGUGGCUGACUCAGGUUCAGUUCUCAAAGGGGUGCAGCAGAGCAGCAUGUAGGAGGCAUAUGCAAAGAAGCUUCCAGAUGCAGGACAGAACGUGGCCUCAGGAAGGUCAUGCGGGUCAAGCUGAUUACCUCCUCCAGCGCUGGCAAGCAGAGGGCUCAGCUGGGUUACCCAAGUUCACAGGAGCUGUUGACAUUCAGCUGCAGCGCUCACUCCUUACUGAUGGGCAGGAGACAGUCUGGGCCUCUGGUUAACUCUUCCGUGCCCUGUUUCAAGAUUGCACCGAGGUCAAAAAAGAACCUGUGACUUCACCUCAGCUUAUUCCUGGUUGUAUUGAAGAAAUAAACCCAUUAAACCAA